ACGAAUUACUGAGGGUUGAUGCUGGCAGUCUGACUGCAUGUGCUCGCUCUUAUUAAUCCAUUUACACUUGUGCACUUAAUUUCGAAGGCAGGGUAGAACCUGCCUUUGAGAUUUAACAAAUUCUUUACCGGAUUAAUGAAUAUUUAUCUGCCGUAAGGCAAAGUUUAAUA
RNAcentral lists this unclassified non-coding RNA (170 nucleotides) under uncultured Sistotrema. Its description in RNAcentral is "sequence contains ITS1". Lineage: Eukaryota; Fungi; Basidiomycota; Agaricomycetes; Corticiales; Corticiaceae. The record is from RNAcentral.